RNAcentral lists this ribosomal RNA (253 nucleotides) under uncultured bacterium. Its description in RNAcentral is "partial 16S ribosomal RNA". It matches the Rfam family "Bacterial small subunit ribosomal RNA", at positions 524 to 776 of the family's 1533-position model. The record is from RNAcentral.
UACGUAGGGUGCAAGCGUUGUCCGGAAUUAUUGGGCGUAAAGAGCUCGUAGGCGGUUUGUUGCGUCGGCUGUGAAAUCCCGAGGCUCAACCUCGGGUCUGCAGUCGAUACGAGCAAACUAGAGUGUUGCAGGGGAGACUGGAAUUCCUGGUGUAGCGGUGAAAUGCGCAGAUAUCAGGAGGAACACCGGUGGCGAAGGCGGGUCUCUGGGCCAUAACUGACGCUGAGGAGCGAAAGCGUGGGGAGCGAACAGG